UACGUAGGGUGCGAGCGUUGUCCGGAAUUAUUGGGCGUAAAGAGCUCGUAGGCGGCUUGUCGCGUCGUCCGUGAAAACUCGGGGCUCAACCCCAAGCUUGCGGUCGAUACGGGCAGGCUAGAGUUCGGUAGGGGAGACUGGAAUUCCUGGUGUAGCGGUGAAAUGCGCAGAUAUCAGGAGGAACACCGGUGGCGAAGGCGGGUCUCUGGGCCGAUACUGACGCUGAGGAGCGAAAGCGUGGGGAGCGAACAGG
RNAcentral lists this ribosomal RNA (253 nucleotides) under uncultured bacterium. RNAcentral describes it as "partial 16S ribosomal RNA". It matches the Rfam family "Bacterial small subunit ribosomal RNA", at positions 524 to 776 of the family's 1533-position model. The record is from RNAcentral.